CCUAACCUGAAAUGUCCGAUAAUUCUUGAUAUUUUGAACCUACAUUACUUUAAACGGGAUUCCUAUAUCGUCAUGCGGAUGUCAAGCCUCGUAAGGUUUCGCUUUCUGCGAACAGUGGAAGGCAGAUGUAUGGUUGCGGUUACCCACCUAGCAUUAGCUAGGAGUCAAAAUUCAAGAACCGGCAUUUUGGGGGUAUA
RNAcentral lists this non-coding RNA (197 nucleotides) under Lachnospiraceae bacterium. RNAcentral's name for it is "6S RNA". It matches the Rfam family "6S / SsrS RNA". From Rfam's summary of the family: E. coli 6S RNA was the first non coding RNA to be sequenced, but its function was unknown until recently. The record is from RNAcentral. Lineage: Bacteria; Bacillati; Bacillota; Clostridia; Lachnospirales; Lachnospiraceae.